GAUGAACGCUAGCGGCAGGCCUAAUACAUGCAAGUCGAACGAUAUUUUCCAGCUUGCUGGGAGAGAAAGUGGCGCACGGGUGCGUAACGCGUAUGCAACCUACCUUUAUCAGGGGGAUAGCCCGGAGAAAUCCGGAUUAAUACCGCAUAAAAUCACAGAACGGCAUUGUUCAAUGAUCAAACAUUUAUGGGAUAAAGAUGGGCAUGCGUGUCAUUAGCUAGUUGGCGGGGUAACGGCCCACCAAGGCGACGAUGACUAGGGGAUCUGAGAGGAUGGCCCCCCACACUGGUACUGAGACACGGACCAGACUCCUACUGGAGGCAGCAGUAAGGAAUAUUGGUCAAUGGAGGCAACUCUGAACCAGCCAUGCCGCGUGCAGGAAGACCGCCCUAUGGGUUGUAAACUGCUUUUAUCCGGGAAUAAACCUCCGAUCGUGAUCGGAGCUGAAUGUACCGGAAGAAUAAGGAUCGGCUAACUCCGUGCCAGCCGCCGCCGUAA
RNAcentral lists this ribosomal RNA (498 nucleotides) under uncultured bacterium. RNAcentral's name for it is "partial 16S ribosomal RNA". It matches the Rfam family "Bacterial small subunit ribosomal RNA", at positions 28 to 523 of the family's 1533-position model. The record is from RNAcentral.